This 378-nucleotide unclassified non-coding RNA is filed under the name uncultured Thermoleophilia bacterium. RNAcentral describes it as "contains 16S-23S intergenic spacer region". The record is from RNAcentral. Lineage: Bacteria; Bacillati; Actinomycetota; Thermoleophilia.
UCCGGUUUGGCACCGGCAGUCUCCCAUGAGUCCCCGCCAUUACGCGCUGGCAACAUGGAACGAGGGUUGCGCUCGUUGCGGGACUUAACCCAACAUCUCACGACACGGGCUGACGACAACCAUGCACCACCUGUUCACCUGCCCCGAAGGGAGACCGUGUUUCCACGGCUGUCAGGUGAAUGUCAAGCCCAGGUAAGGUUCUUCGCGUUGCGUCGAAUUAAACCACAUGCUCCGCUGCUUGUGCGGGCCCCCGUCAAUUCCUUUGAGUUUUAGCCUUGCGGCCGUACUCCCCAGGCGGGGCACUUAAUGCGUUAGCUUCGGCACGGGGGGAGUCGACACCCCCCACACCUAGUGCCCAUCGUUUACAGCGUGGACUAC